RNAcentral lists this ribosomal RNA (951 nucleotides) under Triticum aestivum (bread wheat). RNAcentral's name for it is "partial small subunit ribosomal RNA". The record is from RNAcentral. Lineage: Eukaryota; Viridiplantae; Streptophyta; Magnoliopsida; Poales; Poaceae.
AUGGAAGAGUGCAGUGAGGACAGAUGUUGGGAGGACCUAGCACGAGAUGCCCUAGGCCUCAUCUUCUGCAAACUGUCCCUUCAGGAGAUCCUCACUGUGGUUCCGGGGGUUUGCAAACCCUGGAGCCGGGUAGUUUCAGGGGCCGACUGCUGGCAGGACAUCGACAUUCAGGAGUGGAGCCAGCAGAGCGAGCCUGACAAGAUCACCAGGAUGGUUCAUAUGCUCCUCUCUCACAGCGCUGGCUCGUGCCACCGCCUUAGUGUGUCCAGGCUUCCAAACGACUCAUUGUUCGCCUUCAUCGCGGACCAUGCACAAUCUCUCAAGACUGUGGAGAUUCCAAGGAGCGAGAUCAGUGAAUACAUAGUUGAAGAUGUUGCACAAAGGCUGACUAAAGUUACAUUCCUUGAUGUAAGCAGCUGCACCAAGAUUGGCGCUCGUGCUCUGGGGGCAUUUGGUAAGAAUUGCCAAUCCCUUGUCAGACUUCGGCGAGUCAUGCACCCCAUGGAUGUCGGAGGGAAGGUGUGCCACAAUGACGAGGCCCGUGCUAUUGCCUACAACAUGCCAAAGCUUCGCCACCUCGAGAUAGGGUACAUGAUCAUCGCGACUACGGCUGUCGUCGAGAUCACCUCCCGGUGCGAAGACCUCAAAUUCGUAGAUCUCCGUGGCUACUGGGACGUUGAUGAUAAGGUUUUGCAAGAGAAGUAUCCUGGGCUGAAAAUAGUCGCCCCCCACGUUGACGACUGCUAUGAGAACGGCCUCUGGGAUGAGUGCUCGGAUGAUGACUCCAUCGACUCAUGGGAAGAGUUCGUGGACAAUGACUACUUUGCCAUCAGGAGUGACGACGAGGCCAUAUGGGACGACAUUCACGCUCUCGAAGUACUAGAAGUUAGCUUCUAUGGCGGUGUAUUUCGCGAAGGCUUCGCUGGUUAUGGCUCGCCAGAAUCUCCAUGA